Molecule: ribosomal RNA, 266 nt
Filed under: uncultured Atopobium sp.
Lineage: Bacteria; Bacillati; Actinomycetota; Coriobacteriia; Coriobacteriales; Atopobiaceae
Description: partial 16S ribosomal RNA
Rfam family: Bacterial small subunit ribosomal RNA
Source: RNAcentral
ACGUAGGGGGCAAGCGUUAUCCGGAUUCAUUGGGCGUAAAGCGCUCGUAGGCGGUCUGUUAGGUCGGGAGUUAAAUCCGGGGGCUCAACCCCCGCUCGCUCUCGAUACCGGCAGACUUGAGUUUGGUAGGGGAAGGUGGAAUUCCUAGUGUAGCGGUGGAAUGCGCAGAUAUUAGGAAGAACACCAGUGGCGAAGGCGGCCUUCUGGGCCAUAACUGACGCUGAGGAGCGAAAGCUAGGGGAGCAAACAGGAUUAGAUACCCGGGU